Molecule: ribosomal RNA, 679 nt
Filed under: uncultured Comamonas sp.
Lineage: Bacteria; Pseudomonadati; Pseudomonadota; Betaproteobacteria; Burkholderiales; Comamonadaceae
Description: bacterial SSU rRNA
Rfam family: Bacterial small subunit ribosomal RNA
Source: RNAcentral
AUUGAACGCUGGCGGCAUGCCUUACACAUGCAAGUCGAACGGCAGCACGGACUUCGGUCUGGUGGCGAGUGGCGAACGGGUGAGUAAUACAUCGGAACGUGCCUGGUAGUGGGGGAUAACUACUCGAAAGAGUGGCUAAUACCGCAUGAGAUCUACGGAUGAAAGCAGGGGAUCGCAAGACCUUGUGCUACUAGAGCGGCCGAUGGCAGAUUAGGUAGUUGGUGGGAUAAAAGCUUACCAAGCCAACGAUCUGUAGCUGGUCUGAGAGGACGAUCAGCCACACUGGGACUGAGACACGGCCCAGACUCCUACGGGAGGCAGCAGUGGGGAAUUUUGGACAAUGGGCGAAAGCCUGAUCCAGCAAUGCCGCGUGCAGGAUGAAGGCCUUCGGGUUGUAAACUGCUUUUGUACGGAACGAAAAGCUUCGGGUUAAUACCCUGGAGUCAUGACGGUACCGUAAGAAUAAGCACCGGCUAACUACGUGCCAGCAGCCGCGGUAAUACGUAGGGUGCAAGCGUUAAUCGGAAUUACUGGGCGUAAAGCGUGCGCAGGCGGUUUUGUAAGACAGAGGUGAAAUCCCCGGGCUCAACCUGGGAACUGCCUCUGUGACUGCAAGGCUAGAGUACGGCAGAGGGGGAUGGAAUUCCGCGUGUAGCAGUGAAAUGCGUAGAUAUGCGGA